GUAUGUAUCUUUUCUGGCUUUAAUUUACUUAAUUCGUUGAAAUAUGAAACACUGAAAAUUUAGGAUUUUUAUCUAGGUGCGCCGGGGAGCCCAAGACCAUGGGCUGAACGGCCUUUAGGGUUUCUGAGACUAUUUAUUGCACCUUAACUCCUAGGGUUUGUCUAAUCUUGAUCCAUCUUAGUUCUAGAACGUCCAUUUGGAGAAAACAUAACCUUCUUUGAGUGUUGUGUGCUUAUCCUCCCUAUGCUUGAACCUCAUUUACGGCUUAUUUUGUGCGUUUUAGUGAAGGGAUCAAGAAAGGUGGUGUCUAGGAGCUUGAAGCUUGAAGAUCUUUGCAUUCUCCAUACUUCUGGACCAUUGUAAGUCAUAAAGAUCCAUGCUUUAUUGUGUUUCCUUUUUAGAUCUAAGAGUAUUUGGUGUUUUGGUCCUUAGUUAUGAAGAUUUGGUCCCUUUAUGGCUUGAUCUAUGGAGUUUGGACAACUCAUUGAUCUUUGAGUUAUGUUCUACUUCACAUAUGAUGUUUAUAUGGUGUUGAGAGUGCAUGAAAGAUCUCUCUUUACUCUACGCAUGAAGAAAAAUAGAUUCAUGGACUUUUUGGAAACUAGGGUUUUGGACCUAUUUGGUUUGGGGUGUUUUAAUGGAUAAAUUUUCCAUUAAGACAUCAUUUAGGUCCAUAUUUGAGAGUUAGAAAUUUGGGCUUAAGAGAUUAAGUCGAACGUGGGGCGCCUCCUAAAGGCGUCGAGGUCGGGGCACUUUUUGGGUUUUCUAAGAUGCGACUUUUUUUUUAUGCCAAGUCCCAACUAUUUUGUCCUGUAGUGUACACUGGGCGCUUAAGAGAGGUGUGGGUUGACCAAAAGUUUGACUUUUUUCUAAGUAUUUGAAAUAUGGAAUACAAAACCCCCUAGGGCUUGAAGAGGUUAAUUAACAUUUUUUUACUAUUUUAGAUGAAUAUAACUUCUUACAUGUUUUGUUUUGAAUUUUCAUGAAGGAUUAUGGAGUGGAAGAUCGACCAUUUGGUUGGAUUUUUGGUUGAUUUCAACAUCAAUUUGUACUUUCAAGUUUAAGAAAUGUAGAUGUUA
RNAcentral lists this long non-coding RNA (1079 nucleotides) under Lactuca sativa (garden lettuce). Its description in RNAcentral is "long non-coding RNA (LSAT_LNC007928)". The record is from RNAcentral. Lineage: Eukaryota; Viridiplantae; Streptophyta; Magnoliopsida; Asterales; Asteraceae.